Molecule: ribosomal RNA, 510 nt
Filed under: uncultured bacterium
Lineage: Bacteria
Description: partial 16S ribosomal RNA
Rfam family: Bacterial small subunit ribosomal RNA
Source: RNAcentral
GACGAACGCUGGCGGCGUGCUUAACACAUGCAAGUCGAACGAAGAGCGAUGGAAGCUUGCUUCUAUCAAUCUUAGUGGCGCACGGGUGAGUAACGCGUAAUCAACCUGCCCUUCAGAGGGGGACAACAGUUGGAAACGACUGCUAAUACCGCAUACGAUCUAAUCUCGGCAUCGAGGAUAGAUGAAAGGUGGCCUCUACAUGUAAGCUAUCACUGAAGGAGGGGAUUGCGUCUGAUUAGCUCGUUGGAGGGGUAACGGCCCACCCAGGCGAUGAUCAGUAGCCGGUCUGGAAGGAUGGACGGCCACAAUGGGACUGAGACACGGCCCAGACUCCUACGGGAGGGAGCAGUGGGGGAUCUUCCGCAAUGGACGAAAGGCUGACGGAGCAACGCCGCGUGAGGGAUGACGGCCUUCGGGUUGGAAAGCUCUGUUAAUCGGGACGAAAGGCCUUCUUGCGAAUAGUGAGAAGGAUUGACGGUACCGGAAUAGAAAGCCACGGCUAACUACGUG